CACUGAUCUUUAUAAAAGGCUGUAAGAAUAAUGUUGAUCCAGAUAGUAUGAACAUGUUGUACUUCGAGGGUCUUCCUCCAUGUAAUCCUGUGUGGAUAAUUAAAAUGCUGUAAUGUUUAUUGCCUGUGUGUGAUGGGUUACCUUUUAUGAAGACACUUCCCAGAA
Molecule: long non-coding RNA, 165 nt
Organism: Lagopus leucura (white-tailed ptarmigan)
Lineage: Eukaryota; Metazoa; Chordata; Aves; Galliformes; Phasianidae
Exons: 3
Source: RefSeq, a predicted model, not a curated record